UUAUUUCCGCGAGCGCCGGCACUGCCCGCUCGGAGCCCUGUCUGUCGGGUGCCUAGCCAACUUUCCUGCGUCCAUGCAGCCCGGCCGGCAACGGCUGCCCGCUCCCUGGUCCGGGCCCGGGGGCCCGCGCCCCACCGCCCCGCUGCUCGCGCUGCUGCUGUUGCUCGCCCCGGUGGUGGCGCCCGCGGGGUCCGGGGGCCCCGACGACCCUGGGCAGCCUCAGGAUGCUGGGGUCCUGCGCAGGCUACUGCAGCAGGCGGCGCGCGCGGCGCUUCACUUCUUCAACUUCCGGGCCGGCUCGCCCAGCGUGCUGCGAGUGCUGGCGGAGGUGCAGGAGGGCCGCGCGUGGAUUAAUCCAAAAGAGGGAUGUAAAGUUGACGUGGUCUUCAGCACAGAGCGCUACAACCCAGAGAUAAUCAUGGACAUAUUGAUCCCUCUCUGAGACCCAUCUGGGAUUUGGCUUUCCUUGGAAGCUCUUAUGUGAUGUGGGAAAUAACAACACAGGUGUCACACUACUACUUGGCACAGCUC
RNAcentral lists this small RNA (531 nucleotides) under Pongo abelii (Sumatran orangutan). RNAcentral describes it as "processed transcript". The record is from RNAcentral. Lineage: Eukaryota; Metazoa; Chordata; Mammalia; Primates; Hominidae.